CACGUAGGCGGCUUGGCAAGUCAGGGGUGGCAAGCUCUAGGCUUAACCUAGAAAUUGCCUCUGAAACUACCUCGCUUGAGGGUCAGAGGGGAAACUGGAAUUCACGGUGUAGCGGUGAAAUGCGUAGAUAUCGUGGAGAACACCCGUGGCGAAGGCGGGUUUCUGGCUGACAACUGACGCUGAGGUGCGAAAGCUAGGGGAGCGAACGGGAUUAGAUACCCCGGUAGUCCUAGCCGUAAACGAUGAGUACUAGGUGUGGGGGUUAACGACUUCCGUGCCGACGCUAACGCAUUAAGUACUCCGCCUGGGGACUACGGCCGCAGGUUAA
Molecule: ribosomal RNA, 328 nt
Filed under: uncultured bacterium
Lineage: Bacteria
Description: bacterial SSU rRNA
Rfam family: Bacterial small subunit ribosomal RNA
Source: RNAcentral